This 1976-nucleotide long non-coding RNA is filed under the name Zea mays. RNAcentral's name for it is "long non-coding RNA (ZMAY_LNC000994)". Lineage: Eukaryota; Viridiplantae; Streptophyta; Magnoliopsida; Poales; Poaceae. The record is from RNAcentral.
UUAGACCUAUAAGAAGGUCGUGCCCACCGGCGCUUAACAUCAAUCACAAUCAAAGUGACUCGUAACCUGCAGCAACAAUGGAAAUAAAACCCUAAGUAUGCAAGUACUCAGCAAGACUUACCCGACUAAAGAAAAGACUCUCAAGGGUAUGCUGGUUUUAAAAGGAUUCAAGGUAAAGCUUAUCAAGGAUCAAGGACUCUGUUUGCAGAAAAGCUUACUAUGAGUGGAUCCUUAAAAAUCCAUUUUUACUUGUCAGGUUAAGUAAAGUUACCUGCACUAGAGUUCUUUCUAUCCUAGUUCAAGCACAUGGCCUAUACUAGCCGUCUUUUAUCAUCACAUCAGUUCACUAGAUUGCUACGUGUAAGUCAGUGACCAAGUCUUCAUAUUCGAGAAGUAACGGCGAUCGGAAUCGAUUAAUACCCAGUUGGGGAUCUCCAACCACACGACAUAUGUCAACUCGCCACCGGGUUUCUCAGGACCAGACCAGGUUCACGCCAACCGAGAGCACAGAUACACCACCAUCCAGCCUCUUGCCACGGAGGGUACAUGCUACUCUCACCAUCUCUCCACUCCCAUCGUGUGUUGGCCUUUCUGGUAUUGGUCUACCCGAGGCAAAGCUUACCCAUGACGAGGCAUGUGGCCAGUUAAAAGGUCCUCGAUCAUCAGGCCCACAUCGGCACGGUUCUUAAUCGACUCAGACGAAGACACUACACCGAGACUCCCUUCUCGUGCAAGUCACCCGCCCGGUCUCAGCUUUAUUAUUUAAAACCCAAAGUUUGGUACCUGGCAGAGGUAAAUCUUUUCAGAUGUUGAACCCAUCAAGGCCUUUGACGAAUUCACCAUCAUAAGUACUUUCUUUUGUAAAAAUUCCCAUCCACUGUGAAGCAUCACUUUUGUUUUAAAACAAAACAUUUUGUUUUUCUAGAGCAAGGCUAAGCAUCAUAAAAUUCUUUUCAUAAAAGGGUAUCAAGGAAGGGUAAUCAAUUUUUCAAGGAAAUGCAUCAAUUGUUUAGCACACAACUCCUAUCUCCUAAUGCAUCAUAUAAGGUGAUAAAGAUUUUAAAACAGCGAGGAGGUGGCAAAUGCAUCAGGGCUUGCCUGGAAUAAACACUACGUUAGUGUUUGUUAGACGUCCACUUGACGAGCACCUCACAUCCUGGUGCUUGAUCCGAUCACCCAGUCUUCAAGUUCUUUCAGUAGUAUCACUUUGCGAAGAAGCUCACACUUAACGAUGUCUUGUGGUCGACUCAGCUCUGGUCCUCCACAUCACAUGAUUAAUUAACGUACCUAAAUGAAAUGCAUAAUGCACAUGUAUGAAUAUAAGAAGAACUAGCACAAUACUAGACAAUAUUACACGGUCGAGGAUUACACACUAUUAACAAGUCAUUAGAACCAAUUACAAGAAACGCCAGCUGUCGAUAUAAGACUAACGAUAAUAUUCGUGCUUCUUAUGCUCAUCCAGUGCUAGCUCAAACAUCACGAACAACACACUAAGCAUGAAUUUUAUAUCUUUCUUAGCUAACACUUAAUACCAAAGACUAACAAUACUUAGGUUAAUUAAUCUAGUAUACCUUGGACUUAGAAUAACCAUUAGUAGCUUUACAAUUAGCUUUAAAAUUACUAUUCCAUAAUGUUAAUUCGACCAUUCAUCGGAUACGAAACACUGAUUUAAUCACUCUCGCGUAACCUCCAUCUUUGAACCUAAACUUAGCUACAUGACAUGAUUAUUUCUCAAUCGUGAACACAAUCACCUCGCUACCUAUAGCUCCGGCACUUCGACAACAUAUAAUAUAGCACGCGCUCGUGCUACAAAGGAUAAUCAUCAUGACAUACAUAUCUAUCAAUCUAUCCAUUAAACCAAAUAUUGGAAGUAGCGAAUUAGCUUACCAUAAUUAAAUCUGACUUGAGGCUGUGAUAUCAAUGAUGCUAUCUGGUCCGCGCAUAACACCGAACACCUAACUAGCAUUGCAUUGGCG